RNAcentral lists this unclassified non-coding RNA (216 nucleotides) under Hevea brasiliensis (rubber tree). The record is from RNAcentral. Lineage: Eukaryota; Viridiplantae; Streptophyta; Magnoliopsida; Malpighiales; Euphorbiaceae.
GAUAUCCCAAGCCUUGCUGCAGGUAUCAUUUUGCUGCCAUUACAUUAUUUUGAAUAGUUUGCAUGUCCAGAAAAAUGAAAUGAAAGGGUGGGGCCAACACACAACUGUCUACAGGGGCUUAUCUGGCAUAUACAAAUAGUUCAAAGUAGUGAUGUCCAGAGUUAGAAGCAAUAUAUUUCUUGUCAUAAUCAUGAUUUACAUACUUAAAACUUUUUU